UCUAUUGGCAUCUUGACAGCUGUCCUCACGACUGCGUAUCUCAGCUGGCGUUAUAAGAAAAAUAAUGGACCCUCGUAAGAGAUGGAGUCAACAAAUGAAGACCUACACCAAGAUGAAAACGCUCAGACGACACCUGCAUCCGCUUUCUGAAAACCUUUUCUCUUGAGCUUCGGGCUUGGGGACAGAGGAGUUAUAGAAACGACCUACAUAUAGAUUACUAGGAGUCAGAUAAGUCCAGUGGGUCAGAGAAGCCAGAUUACCAGCCAGGAUGAUAAUUUAACUUCGAUUUGAACUCAGCGGCUGAAAUAGGUCAUGCUGCAUUUAAAAUCAGUCAACGGGCGUUUGGUUUUUUUUUUCAAGGGGGCGUCGGUUGCGCAACGGUGUAGGCGUUGAAACGGCGCUCAUCACUGUAAGAUAAAGGUCUCGGGUUCGAAUCCAGUGGCCCUGCAACCCGGAUGGGGUGAGAAUUCUUCUACAGAAAAUUUUAUACAAAUAAUUGAAGGAUCUGAAAGAAAAGGUUUUUUCCGUUUGUCUGUUUUGUCUCUUCUCUCUCUGUAUUUUGCUUAUUACUUCAGCGGUGUCAUUUUGAGCCAAUUACCCUGGUUUAGAAGUGGUUACUCGACAAUGAAUUCGGUACUCUCUGUUUUUAACUCAAUUAAACUUCGUCUGAGCAACGCAGGUAAUGGAGUUUAUGCUAUUUUCGGAAAUUGCAAAUCCUUUGUUUCAGAAGAUCCACGCCUCUUCACUAGAAAUAAAAUACACAAAAUAAGAAGCUUACCGACGAAGACGUUGUUCACCAGAAGCUUAAUAAACCGCAUAAAUAAUCUGAUUUUAAAUGUAAAUAAUGUCGGAAAACGGCAAAUGCCGAGUAGCGAGGAGGAGAAGUAUAAUUUAGAUACAUUGUUUUCA
Cimex lectularius (bed bug) is the source of this 909-nucleotide long non-coding RNA. RefSeq lists it as uncharacterized. NCBI's taxonomy places the organism in Eukaryota, Metazoa, Arthropoda, Insecta, Hemiptera, Cimicidae. The transcript is spliced from 4 exons. The record is from RefSeq and is a predicted model, not a curated record.